AGAGUUGGAACAAAUAAUCCUAAAAUUUGUAUGGAAUGUGAAAAGACCUUGAAUAGUCAAAGGAUUGUUGAAAAAGAAAACCAAAACUGGUAGCAUCACAAUUCUGGACUUCAAAGUUGGACUAUUCUGGACUAUUACAAAGCUGUAAUCAUCAAGACACUAUGGUACUAGCACAAAAACAGACAUAUAGAUCAAUGGAAUAGAACAUAGAACUGAGAAAUGGACUCUCAACAAUAUGGCCAACUUGUCUUCAACAAAACAGGAAAGAAUAUCCAACAGAAAAAAAGACAGUCUCUUCAAUAAAUGGCUAUAUAUAUAUCACAAUGGAAUACUACUCAACCAUCAGAACUAAUGAAAUCUUGCCAUUUGCAAUGACAUGGAUGGAACUAGAGGAUAUUAUGCUAAGUGAAAUAAGUCAAUCAGAGAAAGACAAUUAUCAUAGGAUCUCAUUCAUAUGUAAAAGUUAAGAAACAAAACAGAGGAUCAUAGUGGAAGAGAGGAGAAAAUAAAACAAGAUAAAAUCAGAGAGGGAAACAAACCAUAAAAGAUUCUUAAUCAAAGGAUAUAAACUGAGGGUCGCUGGAGCAGAGAGGGGUGCAGGCACGGGGUAACUGGGUGAUAAACAUUAAGGAGGGCAUGUGACGAAUCACUGAUCUCUGAAACCGAUAAUACAUUAUAUGUUAAUUAAUUGAAUUUAAAUAAAAAUUUUUAAGAAACCUUAGCACAAGAAACAUGAUGAAAACUACAAAAAGAUGUAUCAUGAUCUAAUCGCUCAAAAGCAGUGAUGAAGAGAAAAUCUUAAAAGUACUAGGAGAAAAAGGGACAUUACACAAAGAACAAAGAUAAGAAUAACAACAGAUUUCUUAUCAGAGACAGUGUAAUAUCUCUGAAGUAUUUUAAGAAAUACUUUAAAGUAUUUUAGUACCAUCAACCUAGAAUUUUAUGCCCAAACUAUCUCUCAAAAAGGAGAUGAAAUAAAUACCUUUUCAUUCAGACAAAAACUGAAAUAAUUCAUGUGCAACAACUUGACUGUAACAAAUGUUAAAUAAAGCUCUUUAGGCACAGGAAAUUUUAUCAGAUGAAAAUAUAUAAUUAUACAAAGGAAUGUAAACACACCAGAAAUGGUAAUUUUGUGAGGAUAUAUGAUUUUUCCUGUUAUUUAAAUAUUUUUAAAAGAAAGUGAUUUAAACAAAAACAGUAAGAAUGUAAUGAAGGCUUUAUAGCAUUUAUAUAUCAGUGAAAUGUAUGACAAUAAUAGCAUAAGCUCCAAAAGGGAAAAACAGAAAAAUAAUGUUUUAACAUUUUUAUACUAUAUGUGAGGUGACAUAACUAUCACCUGGAGGCAGACUGUGAUACGUUUUAUAUGUGUGCUAUAAGCUAUAAAGCAACUUUGCAAUAGUACAGAAAAGAACUAUACCUAUUAAGACAACAAAAGAGAUAAAACAGAAACAUAAAAAUAAUCAAUAAGUCAAACAAAAAGGCAGAAAAGAAGAAAAGGAUGGCCAGUUGAGGAGAAAAGACAGGAAAAAUAAAAACAAAUAAUAAGUAUUAAGAUGGUAGAUUUAAACAUUUAAACCUCAUUAUAUUAAAGAUCACAUUAAAUAUAAAUGGCUUAAUUACCCAAAUUAAAAGAUUUAUAAUUUGGGAUCCCUGGGUGGCUCAGCGGUUUAGUGCCUGCCUUCGGCCCAGGGUGUGAUUCUGGAGUCCUGGGAUCGAGUCCCACAUCAGGCUCCUGCAUGGAGCCUACCUCUCCCUCUGCUUGUGUCUCUGCCUCUCUCUCUCUCUCUCUCUGUGCCUCUCAUGAAUGAAUAAAUAAAAGAUUUUUUAAAAAUUAUAAUUAGAUAAAAAGCAAUAUUCAACCAUAGCCAACUAUAAGAAACACAUUUUAAAUAUCAAGAUACACUAAGUUAUAAAAUUAAAAUACUUGGAAAAAAAUACACCACAGUAACACUAGUAUCAAGAAAGUUGGCAUGGCUAAAGCAAUAACAAAAUAAUUUUCAGAUAAAAAUAUUUUCCAGGGAUAAUGAAAGUCUUUUCAUUACAAUAAAGUUGUCAGUUCAUUAAAAAGACCUAAGGGAGUUUCAAAUUCUUGCAACAGAAAUUGACCAAACACCAAGGAGACACAAACAAAGCUACAAAAUUAUAUUCAGAUAUUUGAACCUUCUUUUCUCAAUAAUUGAUAGAAAACAUACAAAAAUUCACUAAGUAUACAGAAGAGCUGAAAAGCAUUACCAACCAGCCUGACUUAAUUGAUAGUUAUAAAACAUCUCAUCCGGUAAGAGAAUACACAUUCUAUUCAGCUUUACAUGGAAUAGUUAGCAAGAAAGAUCAUACUUUUGGAGAUAAAAACAAAUUUGAAUAAAUUGAAAAUGAUUUGAGUCUACAAAGUAUGCUCUCUGCCCAGUGGAACUGAUUAAGACAUGAGUAAUAGAAUUAUAUCUGGAAAAUACCAAAUAUAUGGAAUCUAAAUAAUAUAUGCCUAAAUAAUACCCACAUCAAAGAAGAAAUAAAAUAGGAAAAGAGAAAUGAAAAAAGAUUUUAUUUUUCCCUAGUUCUAUUGACAUACAAUUGACAUGAGCAAAUAAACCCAAAGGAGGUAAAAGAAAGAACAUAAUAAUGACUACACUAGAAAUCAAUUAAAAAAUUAAGGCAAUAGGAAAAAAAUCAAUAAAAUCAAAAGCUGUUUUUCUGAGAUGAGAAAAAUUUACAAACAACUUAUCAUCAGAAAUAAAAAGAUAAAUUACCAAAAUUGGGAGAGAUGAAACUGCUACAGAUUCUAGAGAUAUUAAAAGAAUAAUAAAGGAAUAUUAAGAACAACUUUCUCUAAUACAAAAAUUUAGGUGAAAUGGAUAAAUUCCUUAUAAAACACAAACUUUUUUUUUCUUGAGAAAAAACAAAUAGAACAUCCAAAUAUCCCAGUAUCUAUUAAAGAUACUGAUUUAUAGUUAAAAUCUACCAACAAGAAAAAAUCCAGACCCAGAUCACUUUACUGGUGAAUUCUAUCAAAUAGUUAAAGAAAAAACAGUAUCAAUUCUCACAUACACAGACACACACAAAUUAUAGAAAAGGAAACAUUUCCCAACUCAUUUAUGAGUUUUGCAUCAACUUGAUAUCAAAACCAAAAUAUAAAGGC
Molecule: long non-coding RNA, 3133 nt
Filed under: Canis lupus familiaris (dog)
Lineage: Eukaryota; Metazoa; Chordata; Mammalia; Carnivora; Canidae
Description: lncRNA (ENSCAFG00805011528.1, ENSCAFG00845005590.1)
Source: RNAcentral